UACGAAGGGGGCUAGCGUUGUUCGGAAUUACUGGGCGUAAAGGGCGCGUAGGCGGCGUGUCAAGUCAGGCGUGAAAGCCCCGGGCUCAACCUGGGAACCGCGCUUGAGACUGGCAUGCUCGAGUUCGGGAGAGGAUGGUGGAAUUCCCAGUGUAGAGGUGAAAUUCGUAGAUAUUGGGAAGAACACCGAUGGCGAAGGCAGCCAUCUGGACCGACACUGACGCUGAGGCGCGAAAGCGUGGG
RNAcentral lists this ribosomal RNA (242 nucleotides) under uncultured bacterium. RNAcentral's name for it is "partial 16S ribosomal RNA". It matches the Rfam family "Bacterial small subunit ribosomal RNA", at positions 524 to 765 of the family's 1533-position model. The record is from RNAcentral.